AUUGAACGCUGGCGGCAUGCCUUACACAUGCAAGUCGAACGGUAACGGGCCUUCGGGUGCCGACGAGUGGCGAACGGGUGAGUAAUACAUCGGAACGUGCCCGAUCGUGGGGGAUAACGAGGCGAAAGCUUUGCUAAUACCGCAUACGAUCUACGGAUGAAAGCAGGGGACCGCAAGGCCUUGCGCGGACGGAGCGGCCGAUGGCAGAUUAGGUAGUUGGUGGGAUAAAAGCUUACCAAGCCGACGAUCUGUAGCUGGUCUGAGAGGAUGAUCAGCCACACUGGGACUGAGACACGGCCCAGACUCCUACGGGAGGCAGCAGUGGGGAAUUUUGGACAAUGGGCGCAAGCCUGAUCCAGCCAUGCCGCGUGCAGGAUGAAGGCCUUCGGGUUGUAAACUGCUUUUGUACGGAACGAAAAUCCUUCUUUUAAUACAGGAGGGUCAUGACGGUACCGUAAGAAUAAGCACCGGCUAACUACGU
This 481-nucleotide ribosomal RNA is filed under the name uncultured bacterium. RNAcentral's name for it is "partial 16S ribosomal RNA". It matches the Rfam family "Bacterial small subunit ribosomal RNA", at positions 30 to 506 of the family's 1533-position model. The record is from RNAcentral.